This is an RNA transcript of Cydia strobilella, 2281 nucleotides long. RefSeq lists it as uncharacterized. Lineage: Eukaryota; Metazoa; Arthropoda; Insecta; Lepidoptera; Tortricidae. The transcript is spliced from 4 exons. The record is from RefSeq and is a predicted model, not a curated record.
CAAAGCAAACCGGUUGGAAUUCUUAUUUGGAUUUGAUUUUCUCCUAUUUGUAUAAUUCGGUAUUGUUUGAAUUUCAACAUUCUGCUCUUAAUAUUUGUCUGUUGCCCUUACAUUUGGCACUAAAUAGUUACGCAUUCUUGAACAUAACUUAUUUAUUCCGACAAUCCUUGUGAGUGUAAAGUACGAUCUACUACUUUCUCCCAAAAAAAUGAACAUGGUAAAUAGGUUCAUGCAAGCCGAUUCUAGUAACCUACCAGAAGUAAACACCUUGAUGAUUCUUGAAUAUGUUACGAGCAGCAACAAGCACAGUAUUGAUGAAAUAAGAGACGUGAAAAGAUUGGCGGCAUCAGACGAACAUUAUGUUAUAGAUGCUGUAGGAUUUGUGCAGCUAAAAAACAAUGGCACUGAAUGCCUUGUUAAGGCCAAAGUUGCUUCAGAAGAGGAGGGUGAAGUUAAAUAUUACACUGUGUCUGUUCAUGUAAAUGAAAAUACCAUUACUGACAGUUCAUGUGAUUGCCAUCCUGAAUUAGCAGGAGGAUGUAAACACACUUUGUUAUUCAUGUGUUGGCUGGAAGAGAAAUCAUCAUUACCUGAAAGCGCUCCAGUGCAAUGUUUUUGGCAUAAACCCCUAUUGGGAACUAAUUGUUCACUGCUUGCCAAGGACGUAUUUAAUUUCUAAAGAGCGCUCAACAUCUUUACCUAUUGCAGAAUGAGGAUGCAAACACACUUUUUUGUUCCUGUUUUGGUUGAAAAAUAAAUCAUCCAUACCGGAAAGAGCUUCAGUGCAAUGUUUUUGGCAUAAGCCUCUAUUGGGAACUAAUUGUUCAUUGCUUGCUAAGGACAUUUUUAAAUUCAAAUCAAAAAGGAGUGCCGUGGAACCGCAACCAAGAAACCCUGAUGUGCUCAAGAACUUUAUUGAAGAAUGUAAGAAAAGGAACAUUACAAACUCUCUUAUUUUGAACUAUUCGCCUCCACAGUAAAUGCUGUUGGUAAGUGCUUAUUGCUUAGUGCACUAUUUUUUAUUAAGUAAGUUUUUGAUCACCUAAAGGAUGAGAAGACAUCCAGUUUUUGUUUGAUAAUGUAAGUGAACGUAUCAUUCCAGUUAAAAAUGGAAGACACUGUCAAUGUUAACAUCGGGGGCUUGUGGCAUUUAGGUCGCUUUUGACGUUUCUGACAGACUAGUGAUGUGUACGAGUUCUGUACGAGUCGAGCAGAGGAAUCACUUAAAAGGUACAUGAAAAUUCGUGAUAGACAAUUAAGAUUUUUCUUAAUGUUUAGAAGUUAUCCUGCGUCUUCUAUCCGCUUGGGUGGUCAAAAUCCGCUUGGUGUAAGAAAGUAAUAUUUCGACUUCGACUGACGUGAUGGCGUGAUGGGUAUAACAAGCAUUCUUCUGUAAUGUUUCAGCGUUAUUGGUGUUCUCUUUCAUUUCAACUUCAAAAUUCUAAGAUUCGCAACGACCGCGACACGUCUCGUAAUAAUUACUGAAUCAAUGACAAUGUCGUACAAUUGUCAUUGAUGUUUUUUAAAUAGCGAUCAUACCGAUAGGUAUGUUAAAACAAUGUACGUAAGUAUUAAUUUGUUAUUUUAUCGUACCAGAGUAGACACUUGAAAAAUGUGUCUCAUCACUAGUGCUACCUAAAUGCCACAAGUCACCGAUGUAUGUUUAUAAUUAACAUGUAUAAUACCUAAUAUUGUCUUCGGUUACCGCGAUAGUUACUCAUGAAAUAAAACUAUGAAAACGGAUUAUAUCGCGUAUAUUGAAUUUAUAAUACAUCGAUUUUUUAUCGAUUUAUAUCUUUACUUGAAAAUAAUUGUAGUGUAUAAGUAUAACUAGCCUUAUGAACCGCUUUUGCAUGUACAACCAGCCUUAAAGUUUAUAGUCUAUGAUUGUUCAUUAUUUUAGUAUGUGGGUAUUUUUGCACUUUGUAAUUUUUCCUCAGUCACCUGUUGACCACGAACGCUGUAAAGGGUUCGAAACGUCGGGAUGUAUUAUAAAUUUAAUAUACGCGAUAUAAUCCGUUUUCAUAGUUUUAUUUCAUGUAUAAUACCUACUAGACCAUUAGAUCUUACCAUAAUGUGGUACUUCUAAACUGAAUACUUUGCACUAGUUUAAUACUAGAAUAUUAAAGCUCUAUUUGUUAAAGUUUUAACAGUAAUGUUUUACUAGUUAGUUAUACUUUACUGUUUUUUUUUUGUAACAUCAAAUUUAGCAACUUGUAGUAAGUAAAUUUCUAUAUAACUAAGUUUCUUUGUUACUCUGUCUCUAAUUUUUAUAAAUAUA